This is an RNA transcript of Melospiza melodia melodia, 2500 nucleotides long. It is a transcript of the gene named HHLA2 member of B7 family, with no coding region annotated. The record is from RefSeq and is a predicted model, not a curated record. Lineage: Eukaryota; Metazoa; Chordata; Aves; Passeriformes; Passerellidae. The transcript is spliced from 10 exons.
CAGCGAGGCCACACCGCCAACCCGCGCGGAGCUGGGCAGCCUUUCAGCUCUUGGGGCACUUGACGGAGCUGGUGAACUUUUAAACUUUUAUCCCUUCCCGAAGACAAACUUCGGAACGCCUCGCUCUGGGAAGGUGUAGAGCGGGCAGCGGCGCUAGCUCACGGGCUGAGGUGCGGUGUUCUGCCGGAGGUGCGGAAAAUUUGACCUGAAUCUACGAACCAAUGAAGAAAAAUGAAAGGACAGAACAUACCAGCUGUCAUGAUCUGUGUAUUUCACAUCAGUGCUACACUUUGGGGUUUUACAGAACAGGAAGAAGUAACAGGACUUUUUUCCAAGGAUUGCAUCCUCCCUUGUCGUUUCCCACCUGGGCAUGAUGAAGUAAUUCACUGGAGCAAAGAGAACAAAAAUGUGCACAGUUACUACCAGCAGAAGGAUCAGCUGGGAGCACAAGAUCCACAUUACAGACUCAGAACACACCUUUUCCAUGAGAACAUCCCUAGUGGAAAUGCCUCCUUGAAACUUAGUAACCUGACCAUGACUGACGAGGGCUCUUAUACCUGCUACGUGGGAACAGCCCAACAUCAAACAGAAGUGGAAGUGCAACUACGAGUUAAAGCUCCUUCUUCUUAUGCACUGGAAUACCAAAAGACAAACACAGAAAGGAGACUGAAGUGCUAUGCUUUUCUCACUUAUCCAGCACCAACUAUAUCUUGGGUACAGGGCAGUACAUACAUCCAGGAGACAGAUCGGGAGGAAACUAGGAAUGGAGUUCUCUAUUCUCUUAGAAGUGACAAGGACAUUAUAAAUGUGACAGAUACUUACCAAUGUCAUAUUCAUUUGGAUCAUGAAGUGUGGGCUGCUGAAUGGAAGAUGCAAGACCACCUGCCCAAGGUGGAAGGAGAGAGCACCGUAAUUGCUUGUGAACACGGCCUUGACACUGCAAGCACUGAUGGUUUCAGUGUUGUCUGGACAUUGCACAGAAAUGCAGUGACCUCAGUCCUGGCCUCCUUCAAUGGCACAUCUCACUCUCACCAGCCCCGAGUCCAGCUUAACGAAAGUGACUUUUCGCUGAGGCUGGAUCAUCUUACUGCAGGCGACAGUGGAGAAUAUCUGUGUAAUAUUUCAACGCCUCUCUACACAAAACUUGCUGUGACAACUUUGCAUGUCGAAAAUUCAGAUAACACUUGGAAAAUUGUGCUAGGAGUGCUUUGUGCUGUGGUGGCAGUGGUGACAAUAGCAGCGGUACUUUGCUAUCUCAAGAAAAGGGAAGACAAUCCCAAUGUGAACAGGCUGUCUGGACAAGGGGCACCAGGAGUAAAGUCCAAAGAAAGAAAAAAAAGAAGAGAGGAAUCAUACGGAGACCUUGACAUACAGGAAGAAAAUAUCUCUCUGCACACAGAUACUCCUGAGACUGGUGACGAAAAGAACAAAGAGUGCCACCACCUUCCCCUUUGAGUUACUGUAAGAGCCACAUGGAAAUGUGAUUUUCUGAGCAACAAUAGCAGACAAAUGGGGAGGAAAAAAAGUCAAUGGACACUUAUAUGUGAAGAAUCAUGGAGCAAGGCAUCUCACCCCCCGCAUGAGCUUAUCUGUUGCUUUUUAACUGUCCAGGUCAAGUGAGGUGAAAAUUGUUUGAAGUUAUCCCUAACUGGUGACAUGAGGAGAAAGACAUCAAGACUGAGGAUAAUUUAACAACUUUGGAGAAACAACCCAAACUUUUAACAUGUAAGAUCUGAGAUUUUGGCUGUCUUCCUGGACUUCUUUUCAGAGGACUGCAAAGAACCCUUGAAAACCUCACAAAGACCAGUAUACAGAACAGAUGAAACAUAAGGAAAACUUCACUGGGCACAGGAAGUGUGUCACUGCAGGGCGAAAACCACCGUCUUACAGGAAACACAGAAGUUACAACUAACAGUAAAUGAAAAACAUGUCUUUGAAAAUACACAGAACUAUGGUAUCUGAUAAGAAUGCAGAAAUUAAAUAAUACUGCUCUGGCCAGAAAGGUAGCAAGAAGUCAGAGGAUAUGUGGUAUUUAGAGGAUAUGUGAACAUCUUCUAGGGUGCAGUGCUCAAGGUCAGGCUGAGGAACAUGGGAUUCACACAGGCCCAACUCCUUUUUCCCUCCAGUAUUUCUAGAUGCACAUAUCCUUGUUCCUGAAACAAUAGGUACCUAGGCAGCCUGGCACAUCCUGGGUUCCGAGCUGGCACAUCCAUUUUGGCUCAUGAGAUGGUAUCACUGUAUGCUGAUAAAUGUGAGUGUAGGUUUGUUUUAAAAGCCAGUCCAAGGCAAGGUGUCCCCACCAAGGUUAUAAGAAUACUGAGGAUAGAAAUGUCAAAAGACACAAAGCUACUGCUCUACUCAGCAAUCCCAAUCCUGCCACCUUCAGAGCAGAUGCCAUGGCAGAACACAUCUCACUGAUUCAGUACAGAGGUGCCCUGAUAAAUUCCUGGGACACACUCUAUCUGGGCAGAACAUGCACAUACCAUUCUCACUCUGGAGU